GAACAAGAGAAGAGCAAAUAAGCUUAGAUUGCAGCAAGGCAAAUCUGUGCUAGACUUUAAGGAGAACUUGGUGAUGGUGAUGCUGGUAAUGCAUGGGAAUAGACCACUUGGGAUGACUUUGAUGUCUGUGACCCAAAUGAGUGCACAACUGUGACAUUAACAACAUACGACAAGCAAUUUCACAUGCCUAGUUAGGCCUUUAUACCACAUUCAUCACUUACUAGUAAGAUGAAGUUCCCAAACAUCCAGUCAGAACAUGAUUCUGAAGGAGUACAACUAUUCAAGAAGUCAUAGGAUUGUCCACCUUGAAAACAGCAAACCGUACUAUACCAUGUUGUUGGGACCAGUAGAUAUCUUACUUUUAUCUUUCUCAAUGUACUGGCUGGCCACAAGCAGCAGAUGGUUCUCAAGCUCCUUUAGGUCCUCCAGUGCCACAUCAUAUAUGAUGUAAGCCCCACGCUGGUCCUGUGUGUGGAUAUAUCCAUCUUCAUGAGUGUGAAAGUCAUCAUGGUUUUCCACCUCUGCAAACUCCAUGAACUGAGUGCUGUGGACCUACAAGUGAAAAAAAUUCCAGAGAAACAGAGAUAGAAGCAGUCAGCUCUACAGUGACUGCAAUUUGGUAUAAUCAGUCAAUCUAGGAGUGGAUCAGGCCUGGUAACGUGGUAUUUUGUCAUUAUCAAAGAACAAUAAAAUAAAAUAUUGUCAAAAUAUACUUUUUUUUUUUCA
Gallus gallus (chicken) is the source of this 726-nucleotide long non-coding RNA. RefSeq lists it as uncharacterized. The record is from RefSeq and is a predicted model, not a curated record. Lineage: Eukaryota; Metazoa; Chordata; Aves; Galliformes; Phasianidae. The transcript has 2 exons.